Molecule: small nucleolar RNA, 86 nt
Filed under: Gossypium arboreum
Lineage: Eukaryota; Viridiplantae; Streptophyta; Magnoliopsida; Malvales; Malvaceae
Description: Plant small nucleolar RNA R71
Rfam family: Plant small nucleolar RNA R71
About the family: R71 is a member of the C/D box family of snoRNAs containing the C (UGAUGA) and D (CUGA) box motifs. Multiple nearly identical copies of this snoRNA have been identified in Arabidopsis, and it is thought to function as a 2'-O-ribose methylation guide for 18S ribosomal RNA.
Source: Rfam by way of RNAcentral
AUCCCAUGAUGAGGACACUUACGAAGUAACUCCUUGAAUCGCUCCCAAGCCUCAUACAAAGACUGUAACACCUUGAAUUUGGGCCU